CCGUACUCAAAUCACACUCGUGACGAACGUACAAAACGAAAAACCGCCGAGUCCAGCGACGCCUGUGCCUUCCUAACCGGGGGCCGGGCAGAGGGCUCGGCAACGAAACACGACCGUAGAGUUUGUGGCCUGAUGCGCAGUACGCACGAGGCCGGCGGAAGCCGCUCUUGGUCAGAAUGAUCAGAGAAUGUUAGCCGGAGAGUUAUUAGUUUUGGCCUGAUGCGCAGUACGCACGAGGCUGGCGAAAGCCGCUCUUUCGGUUAUCAGACUCGCAAAGUCCGCCGCGAGGCUUCGGCCUCCGCGGUGGACUUCAUUUUUAUGCGCUGCUGUAAGUGCUGUAAGCUCUUAUAUAUGCCUCGAGCUGAGCCCUGACGCGCAUACCCGAUCUGUGCUCACGCACUGUUUUGGGACGCACUGAGAGAUGGAUUCGUCCAGACGAAGCUUCGGUAACGGAAUAAAACACGCGUCUCCCUUGUGUGCCUUGGUAAAACAGAGGGCCGGGAGACGACAACGUGGUUGUUCUUAAAGCAUAUUUUGCGCCGUGGCGACUCAGUGUUGCUGCCGCCCCCUUUAACCGGGAGGGCGGUACCACCGUUCUACGGACUUGGCAAGUCUUGGUGGUUUAAUCGGGACGUUUGUUGUCUUCCAUUUUCAAUGGUCGGCUCUUCUGUCUCUCUAGGAAUGGAGCCUCAAAUUACUGGCUAGC
This 706-nucleotide unclassified non-coding RNA is filed under the name Thrips florum. RNAcentral's name for it is "partial miscellaneous RNA". The record is from RNAcentral. Lineage: Eukaryota; Metazoa; Arthropoda; Insecta; Thysanoptera; Thripidae.